This is a long non-coding RNA of Dreissena polymorpha, 290 nucleotides long. RefSeq lists it as uncharacterized. The transcript has 2 exons. NCBI's taxonomy places the organism in Eukaryota, Metazoa, Mollusca, Bivalvia, Myida, Dreissenidae. The record is from RefSeq and is a predicted model, not a curated record.
GCAAAGACCUAUAGAUUACACAGAUUGGAAUCUCUCGUCUCCGCUAUAGCGAUAUGCGAUAAUAUCUAUCGGCGGACGCGGAUCACGUGACAUUGAUUUUGGAGAUGCCGGUGUACCUGUAGAAUCUUCCCUGUUCCAGCUGCUGUCGGCCAUUUUCUUUUAAAGCAAACAAUUAUUCUUCGUAAUUAGUCGUUAAUAUUUGAUGUCGUAGGGUAUUCUGAGCAUGAUCUGAUCAAAAUGCCAAAAAAAAAGAAGAGAGCAGGUGUUUCUGGUCGGCGUCAUAAAUACCA